GGUGAACGCUGGCGGUGGGCCUAAUACAUGCAAGUCGAACGGACAGACAGUGAGAGUUUGCCCCUAAGGGUGGCGAGGGGCGGGUGGGUGACACGUAGAUAGGCUUCCUCUUAUACGUGGGGGACAUCGGGGAAACAGUGCCGAUAACACCGCAUACGUUCUACCGGAUGGAUCAGGAGUUCAAGAGAGCUUUGGUGUUUGAUUUAGACGGAUCCGCGCCGGCUUAGCUAGUUGGUAAGGUAACGGCUUACCAAGGCAACGAUGCGUAGCCGACCUGAGAGGGUGAUCGGCCACACUGGAACUGAGACACGGUCCAGACUCCUACGGGAGGCAGCAGUAGGGAAUCUUCCGCAAUGGGCGAAAGCCUGACGGAGCAACGCCGCGUGAGUGAUGAAGGUCUUCGGAUCGUAAAACUCUGUUAUUAGGGAAGAACAACUGCGUAAGUAACUAUGCACGUCUUGACGGUACCUAAUCAGAAAGCCACGGCUAACUACGUG
RNAcentral lists this ribosomal RNA (497 nucleotides) under uncultured bacterium. Its description in RNAcentral is "partial 16S ribosomal RNA". It matches the Rfam family "Bacterial small subunit ribosomal RNA", at positions 28 to 507 of the family's 1533-position model. The record is from RNAcentral.